CCAUAGUGAUAGAUAAGGAGCCGGGGACCUUCGUGGUGAGAGACAGCACGUCCUUCAGAGGCUCCUUUGGGCUGGCUAUGAAGGUGGACCAGGUGCCUGUCAAUAUAUCCCCUACUGGCCAACCAGCGGAGGGCAGCUCAGAGCUCGUGAGGCACUUUCUCAUUGAAUCGUCGGCCAAGGGCGUCCGUAUCAAGGGCUCCUCACACGAACCAUACUUCGGUAGUCUGUCUGCCCUGGUCUUCCAACACACCGUCACUGCAUAUGCCCUACCCUGCAAACUUCUGCUCCAGUCACAU
Molecule: long non-coding RNA, 296 nt
Organism: Salvelinus namaycush (lake trout)
Lineage: Eukaryota; Metazoa; Chordata; Actinopteri; Salmoniformes; Salmonidae
Exons: 3
Source: RefSeq, a predicted model, not a curated record